UAAAGUUCUUUUCUAAGGGAAGAAGAAAGUGACGGUAUCCAACCAGAAAGUCACUGCUAACUACGUGCCAGCAGCCGCGGUAAUACGUAGGUGGCAAGCGUUAUCCGGAUUUAUUGGGCGUAAAGCGAGCGCAGGCGGUUGCUUAGGUCUGAUGUGAAAGCCUUCGGCUUAACCGAAGAAGUGCAUCGGAAACCGGGCGACUUGAGUGCAGAAGAGGACAGUGGAACUCCAUGUGUAGCGGUGGAAUGCGUAGAUAUAUGGAAGAACACCAGUGGCGAAGGCGGCUGUCUGGUCUGCAACUGACGCUGAGGCUCGAAAGCAUGGGUAGCGAACAG
This 335-nucleotide ribosomal RNA is filed under the name uncultured bacterium. Its description in RNAcentral is "bacterial SSU rRNA". It matches the Rfam family "Bacterial small subunit ribosomal RNA", at positions 426 to 775 of the family's 1533-position model. The record is from RNAcentral.